This is a small nucleolar RNA of Gorilla gorilla gorilla (western lowland gorilla), 102 nucleotides long. It matches the Rfam family "Small nucleolar RNA U13". NCBI's taxonomy places the organism in Eukaryota, Metazoa, Chordata, Mammalia, Primates, Hominidae. The record is from Rfam.
AUUCUUUUUUAGUUCAAAAGUGUGAUGAUUAGGUUUUCACAUUUGUGUGAGAUGUGCCUUCCUCAAACCUUGUUACAACGUCUGCACAUUACCCAUCGGACA